AGGGUUUGAUUCUGGCUCAGAACGAACGCUGGCGGCAGGCCUAACACAUGCAAGUCGAGCGCGCCUUCGGGUGAGCGGCGGACGGGUUAGUAACGCGUGGGAACGUGCCCUUCUCUACGGAAUAGCCUCUGGAAACGGAGAGUAAUACCGUAUACGCCCUUUGGGGGAAAGAUUUAUCGGAGAAGGAUCGGCCCGCGUUAGAUUAGGUAGUUGGUGGGGUAACGGCCUACCAAGCCUACGAUCUAUAGCUGGUUUUAGAGGAUGAUCAGCAACACUGGGACUGAGACACGGCCCAGACUCCUACGGGAGGCAGCAGUGGGGAAUCUUAGACAAUGGGGGCAACCCUGAUCUAGCCAUGCCGCGUGAGUGAUGAAGGCCUUAGGGUCGUAAAGCUCUUUCGCCUGUGAUGAUAAUGACAGUAGCAGGUAAAGAAACCCCGGCUAACUCCGUGCCAGCCGCCGCGGUAAUAC
RNAcentral lists this ribosomal RNA (470 nucleotides) under uncultured bacterium. RNAcentral describes it as "bacterial SSU rRNA". It matches the Rfam family "Bacterial small subunit ribosomal RNA", at positions 8 to 526 of the family's 1533-position model. The record is from RNAcentral.